This 328-nucleotide ribosomal RNA is filed under the name uncultured Cenococcum. RNAcentral's name for it is "eukaryotic LSU rRNA". It matches the Rfam family "Eukaryotic large subunit ribosomal RNA", at positions 1 to 329 of the family's 3401-position model. The record is from RNAcentral. Lineage: Eukaryota; Fungi; Ascomycota; Dothideomycetes; Gloniales; Gloniaceae.
UUGACCUCGGAUCAGGCAGGGAUACCCGCUGAACUUAAGCAUAUCAAUAAGCGGAGGAAAAGAAACCAACAGGGAUUGCCUCAGUAACGGCGAGUGAAGCGGCAACAGCUCAAAUUUGAAAUCUGGCUCUUUUAGGGUCCGAGUUGUAAUUUGUAGAGGAUGCUUCGGCGUCGGCUCCGGUCUAAGUUCCUUGGAACAGGACGUCAUAGAGGGUGAGAAUCCCGUAUGUGAUCGGUUGCCUUGCCAUGUGAAGCUCCUUCGACGAGUCGAGUUGUUUGGGAUGCAGCUCUAAAUGGGAGGUAAAUUUCUCUAAAGCUAAUACUGGCCA